Magnolia sinica is the source of this 219-nucleotide long non-coding RNA. RefSeq lists it as uncharacterized. The record is from RefSeq and is a predicted model, not a curated record. The transcript is spliced from 2 exons. NCBI's taxonomy places the organism in Eukaryota, Viridiplantae, Streptophyta, Magnoliopsida, Magnoliales, Magnoliaceae.
CGCAUCAUGAUCAAGUAUAUAGAGAUAUUCACUUAGUUUGCAUUUAGGCUGUGCACAUUGGGUGGGAAGCCAAGUCACGUCAGGUUGCGGGUUGGGUCCUCUUGAGCUUGGCUUGUACUCAGGUUGACCCUCAACAAUGCAACCUGCCAAUGUUUUCUUCACCGCUGGCACCCAUGUAUGAUGUGGGUUGCUGCACUAUAAAGAUCUUUCACCUAUAGG